CCUACGGGAGGCUGCAGUGGGGAAUAUUGGUCAAUGGGGGGAACCCUGAUCCAGCCAUGCCGCGUGUGUGAAGAAGGCCCUCGGGUUGUAAAGCACUUUCAGUGAGGAAGAACGCCUGGUGGUUAAUACCCAUCAGGAAAGACAUCACUCACAGAAGAAGCACCGGCUAACUCCGUGCCAGCAGCCGCGGUAAUACGGAGGGUGCGAGCGUUAAUCGGAAUUACUGGGCGUAAAGCGCGCGUAGGUGGCUUGAUAAGCCGGUUGUGAAAGCCCCGGGCUCAACCUGGGAACGGCAGCCGGAACUGUCAAGCUAGAGUGCAGGAGAGGAAGGUAGAAUUCCCGGUGUAGCGGUGAAAGGCGUAGAGAUCGGGAGGAAUACCAGUGGCGAAGGCGGCCUUCUGGACUGACACUGACCCUGAGGUGCGAAAGCGUGGGUAGCAAACAGGAUUAGAUACCCCUGUAGUC
Molecule: ribosomal RNA, 465 nt
Filed under: Vreelandella stevensii
Lineage: Bacteria; Pseudomonadati; Pseudomonadota; Gammaproteobacteria; Oceanospirillales; Halomonadaceae
Description: partial 16S ribosomal RNA
Rfam family: Bacterial small subunit ribosomal RNA
Source: RNAcentral